RNAcentral lists this long non-coding RNA (292 nucleotides) under Aquila chrysaetos chrysaetos. RNAcentral's name for it is "lncRNA (ENSACCG00020005574.1)". The record is from RNAcentral. Lineage: Eukaryota; Metazoa; Chordata; Aves; Accipitriformes; Accipitridae.
UUCGUUUUUCCACGGGAAGGAGUUUCUCCAGUUAUGUCCUCCUGCGGUAAUCAAAACUAAGGUUUGCUAUGAAGCUUUAGCCCUGACGAUCAACAAGGAAACAGUUGAAAUGUGAACCGGCAGCUAAACGUGAACUUUCCUAGAAGAGAAAGAAAAGAGAGCAUUGCUGUCUGUUCUCAGAAGGUGAAUACCUCGAUUUUCCAGUGAUACUGUUUUCUACAGAAGAAUUUAACUAAAGCCCCAUUUUUUCCUGCUUUUGACUUGAGGAUCCGUGCAAAAUCGCUGGCAGUCU